Molecule: unclassified non-coding RNA, 414 nt
Filed under: Hevea brasiliensis (rubber tree)
Lineage: Eukaryota; Viridiplantae; Streptophyta; Magnoliopsida; Malpighiales; Euphorbiaceae
Source: RNAcentral
AAAAGACGCCUGAUAAUAUCAUCGAGAACCGCUUGGUCCAUUAUCUGAUACUAUUUUGCACCGCUUAAAAAAUAAAAUAAAAAAAAUCUUUUUUAGAGUCUCUAAAAAUCAAAGGAGGAAGGAAAAAAAGUCAACGGGUUUAUCUAAUGGAUGUGAUAGAGAGAUGGAAAAGCUGAGCGAGGAGACUGAAAAAGAGAGAGAGUAGCAUGCCUUAGAGGGGAUAGAGAAAAUGGGGGUGGGGCUGUCGUUUUGUUAGGGGAGAAAUGCCGUUUUACGAGGGUGAGAAGAAGCCUGAGACACGAGCUGUUUCUCGCGGUGAGAGUGAAGAGAAAAUGGCAAGGGUUUUGCUUGGAAGUGGGCUGACUUGGACUUACGCAGAAAUAAACACAGCCAACAGAGGAUGGUGAUUUACUG